GCGCUUGGGUGCCAGGAGGCCACGUGGGGAAGCAAAGGCGCCUCCUUUCUCCCUCGACUUCCCUUUUUUCAUCGCACGCCUCGCACGCUUUUGCCCGGGCAGGUGACGCCGGGCACCCGCAGGAUAGAGCCAGGAGUCAACUUUUAACUCCACACCACAGUAGGAAGCAGCUAAACAGAAAAAAAAUGGGAUAAAGCUCAGGAUCAACGGCCGCUGUUCCCCCGUCGACUUUGCUUCUGCCUCUCGCUGAGCUGGCGUUCAACAGUUGACGGGAGAGUGCGAUAAAUCGA
This is a long non-coding RNA of Gopherus evgoodei (Goodes thornscrub tortoise), 290 nucleotides long. RefSeq lists it as uncharacterized. The transcript has 3 exons. Lineage: Eukaryota; Metazoa; Chordata; Testudines; Testudinidae. The record is from RefSeq and is a predicted model, not a curated record.